Molecule: ribosomal RNA, 668 nt
Filed under: Bifidobacterium longum
Lineage: Bacteria; Bacillati; Actinomycetota; Actinomycetes; Bifidobacteriales; Bifidobacteriaceae
Description: bacterial SSU rRNA
Rfam family: Bacterial small subunit ribosomal RNA
Source: RNAcentral
GCAGUCGAACGGGAUCCAUCAGGCUUUGCUUGGUGGUGAGAGUGGCGAACGGGUGAGUAAUGCGUGACCGACCUGCCCCAUACACCGGAAUAGCUCCUGGAAACGGGUGGUAAUGCCGGAUGCUCCAGUUGAUCGCAUGGUCUUCUGGGAAAGCUUUCGCGGUAUGGGAUGGGGUCGCGUCCUAUCAGCUUGACGGCGGGGUAACGGCCCACCGUGGCUUCGACGGGUAGCCGGCCUGAGAGGGCGACCGGCCACAUUGGGACUGAGAUACGGCCCAGACUCCUACGGGAGGCAGCAGUGGGGAAUAUUGCACAAUGGGCGCAAGCCUGAUGCAGCGACGCCGCGUGAGGGAUGGAGGCCUUCGGGUUGUAAACCUCUUUUAUCGGGGAGCAAGCGAGAGUGAGUUUACCCGUUGAAUAAGCACCGGCUAACUACGUGCCAGCAGCCGCGGUAAUACGUAGGGUGCAAGCGUUAUCCGGAAUUAUUGGGCGUAAAGGGCUCGUAGGCGGUUCGUCGCGUCCGGUGUGAAAGUCCAUCGCUUAACGGUGGAUCCGCGCCGGGUACGGGCGGGCUUGAGUGCGGUAGGGGAGACUGGAAUUCCCGGUGUAACGGUGGAAUGUGUAGAUAUCGGGAAGAACACCAAUGGCGAAGGCAGGUCUCUGGGCCGU